CCUACGGGGGGCAGCAGUAGGGAAUAUUGCUCAAUGGGGGAAACCCUGAAGCAGCAACGCCGCGUGGAGGAUGAAGGUUUUCGGAUUGUAAACUCCUUUUGUUAGAGAAGAUAAUGACGGUAUCUAACGAAUAAGCACCGGCUAACUCCGUGCCAGCAGCCGCGGUAAUACGGAGGGUGCAAGCGUUACUCGGAAUCACUGGGCGUAAAGAGCGCGUAGGCGGGAUAGCAAGUCAGAUGUGAAAUCCUAGGGCUUAACCAUAGAACUGCAGUUGAAACUGUUAUUCUAGAGUAUGGGAGAGGUAGGUGGAAUUCUUGGUGUAGGGGUAAAAUCCGUAGAGAUCAAGAGGAAUACUCAUUGCGAAGGCGACCUGCUAGAACAUAACUGACGCUGAUGCGCGAAAGCGUGGGGAGCAAACAGGAUUAGAUACCCCUGUAGUC
Molecule: ribosomal RNA, 440 nt
Filed under: uncultured bacterium
Lineage: Bacteria
Description: partial 16S ribosomal RNA
Rfam family: Bacterial small subunit ribosomal RNA
Source: RNAcentral